This 391-nucleotide unclassified non-coding RNA is filed under the name soil metagenome. RNAcentral's name for it is "partial contains 5.8S ribosomal RNA, internal transcribed spacer 2, and large subunit ribosomal RNA". The stretch from base 1 to 122 matches the Rfam family "5.8S ribosomal RNA", at positions 35 to 154 of the family's 154-position model. The record is from RNAcentral.
GAUGAAGAACGUAGCGAAAUGCGAUACUUGGUGUGAAUUGCAGAAUCCCGUGAACCAUCGAGUCUUUGAACGCAAGUUGCGCCCGAAGCCACUAGGCCGAGGGCACGCCUGCCUGGGCGUCACACGUCGUUGCCCCCCCAUCUACUCCUUCGGGAUUGCGGGGGGGCGGAUGAUGGCCUCCCGUGCACCUAUCCGCGCGGUUGGCAUAAAUACCAAGUCCUCGGCGACGCACGCCACGACAAUCGGUGGUUGCGAAACCUCGGUUGCCCGUCGUGUGCGUUCGUCGCGCAUCGAGGGCUCGAAAAAAUGCUCGGCUUCGGCUCGGCUUUCAACGCGACCCCAGGUCAGGCGGGGUUACCCGCUGAAUUUAAGCAUAUCAAUAAGCGGAGGA